UUUUUUCUUCUUCUUUAAAU
This 20-nucleotide small RNA is filed under the name Arabidopsis thaliana (thale cress). RNAcentral describes it as "ATSL003850". The record is from RNAcentral. Lineage: Eukaryota; Viridiplantae; Streptophyta; Magnoliopsida; Brassicales; Brassicaceae.